CCUGGGGUCCCACAGCUUCUCAGGGGUCUGUGGCUACCCAGAGCCACAGAGAUGUCUGGGGUCAUACAGCACCCCAGAAUCGUAAAGACACCUGGGGACACACUGUCAUGCAGGGUCAUACAGCUGUCCAGGUCGUGCAGCCACCUGAGCUCCUCCAGACGUUCCAUGUCAUGCAGCUUCCCGAGGUCGUGCAGCUCUCUGGGGUCAUAUGCCUAUGCAGGGUCAUACAGCUUUCUAAGCUGGGCCCAACUGCCAAUGAGUCUCUUUGCUGCUCUGUGCCUUGGAUUCCUCAUCUGCAAAAUGGGUGCACAAGUUCAGGUCUGGCUUGACUCAAGAGCCCGGGGCAUGAGGGAUGGCACUGUAAGGGACGGAGCACCGACCAAGCCCUGCCCACGGCACUUGGGUGCACUUCUGCUGGAAGAGGAAGCCGAGGCGCAGAGAUGUCAGGUGGCAGGCCUGCUGUCAUACGGCAGCAGUGUUGUUUCUCCUCCUUGGGGCACCUCCUCCAGGAAGCCUUCCAGACCACACAAGUGUAUGGUAAUUCCUGCCUCUCCCCCAGCGCACACCAAAAAUAAAGCCGGGCUUUGUGCCUUGAAUCACCAUUUACAGAGCAAUGUAUACUUCACAAAGUAUUUUUCUGUCCGUGUCUCACUGAACCUCACAGGAACCCUAAUGGGGUCAGAUGAGUUUUGUCCCCGUUUUGCAGAUGGGGACCUGGGAGGCAAGGGGAGGGUGUAUGCUCACACGAGGGUGCAGUUGCACCCGUGCCAACCCUUCCCGAAAACUGCCUGGGUGCCAAGGGCUGCCCCGUGUUUCCACACAGUUGUUUACUCAAUAACCAUUGACUGAGCACCUACUCUGUGCCAGCCGCCGACACAGAUGCUGUGCCAGCAGCACCGAGAAAACAGACCAACACAGUCCCUCCUCCUGCAAGCCGCGUCCUAGGGAGAAGAGACCGUGCUCGGCAAGUCAGGUGGUGAGUGAGGUGGUGACACUCUGUGCAGACCAAGAAGUGGGGGGAAGCCCGAGGGGGGCAUCAGGCAAGAUCGCAGGUGAGGGGACUUGGAGACACCUGAAGGAGGGAAGGGACAGCCCCAAGGAUGUCCACCCCGAAGCCAGACUGUCUCCCAUGGGGGGCCGGGCCGUGCCCCUCUGCCCCCACCCUGAACACUCCCCGAGGAGGCCCCCCGCUGCAGCUCUCCCCGGCCCUGCCUGCUGGGCCCUCGCCCUCGCCCCGGCCACCAAUCCUGCACCCC
This 1256-nucleotide long non-coding RNA is filed under the name Vulpes vulpes (red fox). RNAcentral describes it as "lncRNA (ENSVVUG00000014308.1)". The record is from RNAcentral. Lineage: Eukaryota; Metazoa; Chordata; Mammalia; Carnivora; Canidae.